UACGAAGGGGGCUAGCGUUGUUCGGAAUUACUGGGCGUAAAGCGCGCGUAGGCGGUUUUGCAAGCCAGAGGUGAAAUGCCUGAGCUCAACUCAGGAAUGGCCUUUGGGACUGCGAGGCUUGAAUCCGGGAGAGGAUGGCGGAAUUCCCAGUGUAGAGGUGAAAUUCGUAGAUAUUGGGAAGAACACCGGUGGCGAAGGCGGCCAUCUGGACCGGUAUUGACGCUGAGGCGCGAAAGCGUGGGGAGCAAACAGG
RNAcentral lists this ribosomal RNA (253 nucleotides) under uncultured bacterium. RNAcentral's name for it is "partial 16S ribosomal RNA". It matches the Rfam family "Bacterial small subunit ribosomal RNA", at positions 524 to 776 of the family's 1533-position model. The record is from RNAcentral.